Molecule: long non-coding RNA, 317 nt
Organism: Lucilia cuprina (Australian sheep blowfly)
Lineage: Eukaryota; Metazoa; Arthropoda; Insecta; Diptera; Calliphoridae
Exons: 2
Source: RefSeq, a predicted model, not a curated record
UUUGUUUAGUUUUAAUUCAAUCAUUGCCUAGAUCACUUAUAUUUUAAACAUGAAGUUAUUAAAAAUUUCUCAAGUUGUAUUAAUUUUUGCCAUUAUAUUGGGUUUAUUAGGUGAUCUUAGCAUGGCUGCGCCCAAGAAAAAAUCUAAAAAGAAGACAUUGCCCAAAAUUGAAAUAAAUGCCAAUUUAAAACUCAAAAUUGGUGGAUAAUUGUUAAGGCCACGAAUGAAAUAUGUUUAAAAUUGUAUAUUUGUGUCUUAAUUAAAAUUUUGUUAUCUUUAAAUAGUCUAUUUAAAUAAAUAAUACUUUAUGUUUUUAA